GUUUGAUCAUGGCUCAGGACGAACGCUGGCGGCGUGCUUAACACAUGCAAGUCGAACGGGAGUACUUUGAAAGCUUGCUGAUGAGUACUUUAGUGGCGGACGGGUGAGUAACGCGUGAGGAGCUGUCCUAUGCAGGGGGACAACAGUUGGAAACGGCUGCUAAUACCCCAUAAGCCGAGAGGUAAAAGGAGCGAUCCGGCAGAGGAGGCACUCGCGUCCUAUCAGCUAGUAGGUUGGGUAACGGCCGACCUAGGCGAAGACGGGUAGCCGGCCUGAGAGGGCGAACGGCCACACUGGAACUGAGAUACGGUCCAGACUCCUACGGGAGGCAGCAGUGGGGAAUAUUGGGCAAUGGGGGCAACCCUGACCCAGCGACGCCGCGUGGGUGAAGAAAUCCUUCGGGAUGUAAAGCCCUGUUGUAUGGGAAGAGCAGAAGACGGUACCAUACGAGGAAGCCCCGGCAAACUACGUGCCAGCAGCCGCGGUAAUACGUAGGGGGCGAGCGUUGUCCGGAAUUACUGGGCGUAAAGCGCACGCAGGCUGAAUUAUAAGUCGGUAGUAAAAGGCGGAGGCUCAACCUCCGUUUAUCUAUCGAUACUGUAAAUCUAGAGUAUGUGAGAGGGAAGUGGAAUUCCCGGUGUAGCGGUGAAAUGCGUAGAUAUCGGGAGGAACACCAGUGGCGAAGGCGACUUCCUGGCACAAUACUGACGCUCAUGUGCGAAAGCUAGGGUAGCGAACGGGAUUAGAUACCCCGGUAGUCCUAGCCGUAAACGAUGGAUACUAGGUGUGGGUGUCGCAGGGCAUCCGUGCCGCAGCUAACGCGUUAAGUAUCCCGCCUGGGGAAUACGGUCGCAAGACUGAAACUCAAAUGAAUUGACGG
This 880-nucleotide ribosomal RNA is filed under the name uncultured bacterium. Its description in RNAcentral is "bacterial SSU rRNA". It matches the Rfam family "Bacterial small subunit ribosomal RNA", at positions 11 to 916 of the family's 1533-position model. The record is from RNAcentral.